This 495-nucleotide ribosomal RNA is filed under the name uncultured bacterium. RNAcentral describes it as "bacterial SSU rRNA". It matches the Rfam family "Bacterial small subunit ribosomal RNA", at positions 30 to 521 of the family's 1533-position model. The record is from RNAcentral.
AUUGAACGCUGGCGGAAUGCUUUACACAUGCAAGUCGAACGGUAGAGGGGGCAACCCCUUGAGAGUGGCGAACGGGUGAGUAAUAUAUCGGAACGUGCCCAGUCGUGGGGAUAACGUAGCGAAAGUUACGCUAAUACCGCAUACGAUCUAAGGAUGAAAGCGGGGGAUCGCAAGACCUCGCGCGAUUGGAGCGGCCGAUAUCAGAUUAGGUAGUUGGUGAGGUAAAGGCUCACCAAGCCAACGAUCUGUAGCUGGUCUGAGAGGACGACCAGCCACACUGGAACUGAGACACGGUCCAGACUCCUACGGGAGGCAGCAGUGGGGAAUUUUUGGACAAUGGACGCAAGUCUGAUCCAGCCAUUCCGCGUGCAGGAUGAAGGCCCUCGGGUUGUAAACUGCUUUUGUACGGUAACGAAACGGUGAGCUCUAAUACAGUUUGCUAAUGACGGUACCGUAAGAAUAAGCACCGGCUAACUACGUGCCAGCAGCCGCGGU